RNAcentral lists this ribosomal RNA (1691 nucleotides) under Guyanagaster necrorhizus. RNAcentral describes it as "eukaryotic LSU rRNA". The stretch from base 787 to 1691 matches the Rfam family "Eukaryotic large subunit ribosomal RNA", at positions 1 to 887 of the family's 3401-position model. The record is from RNAcentral. Lineage: Eukaryota; Fungi; Basidiomycota; Agaricomycetes; Agaricales; Physalacriaceae.
AAGUAAAAGUCGUAACAAGGUUUCCGUAGGUGAACCUGCGGAAGGAUCAUUAUUGAAGCAUUGAAUCGUAGCAUUGAGAACUGUUGCUGGCGCUUUGUAUGUGCACGUUCAAUCUGUUGCGUUUCUCUUCUAUUCAAUUCCACUUGUGCACGUUUGUAGACUUGGUCAAUGUUUCAUGUUAGCGCUGGCGUGGUUAGAAGGGUUUGCUUUUGAAGCUCCCUUUGUGUUACCAAGUCUAUGUUGUAUAUGUUCUCUUGUAUGUGUAUUGAAUGUGUUAGUUAUUGGACUGGCGUCCAAUAAUGGUUAAUACAACUUUCAACAACGGAUCUCUUGGCUCUCGCAUCGAUGAAGAACGCAGCGAAAUGCGAUAACUAAUGUGAAUUGCAGAAUUCAGUGAAUCAUCGAGUCUUUGAACGCACCUUGCGCCCUUUGGUAUUCCAAAGGGCAUGCCUGUUUGAGUGUCAUUAAAUUCUCAANCUCCCUUUGUUUCUGACUGAGGGUGGAUUGGAUAGUGGGGGCUUGCUGGAUUCUUAACGAGAUCAGCUCCUCUGAAAUGCAUUAGCAGAAACCGUUUGACGUUGGCUUGCUAGGCUGUGAUAAUAUCUACGGUUUUGCAAGUCAGGUUGAAAUACAAGUCUUAGAAUUGGGUUGCAUGUUGCUUAGUAUCGGUUUAGAGGGAGCUUUAAUGCUCCUUCUGGUUUCUCUCUAGGCCUAUGAGAUUUCGAACUUUGCUUUCGUUGACUUUGUAGAAGGCUUUCAGCUUCUAACUGGCAAUUUAUUGACUGUUGACCUCAAAUCAGGUAGGAUUACCCGCUGAACUUAAGCAUAUCAAUAAGCGGAGGAAAAGAAACUAACAAGGAUUCCCUUAGUAACUGCGAGUGAAGAGGGAAAAGCUCAAAUUUAAAAUCUGGCAGGUUUGCUGUCCGAGUUGUAAUUUAGAGAAGUGUUACCCGCGUUGGACCGUGUACAAGUCUCCUGGAAUGGAGCAUCAUAGAGGGUGAGAAUCCCGUCUUUGACAUGGACUACCAAGGCAUUGUGGUAUGCUCUCAAAGAGUCGAGUUGUUUGGGAAUGCAGCUCUAAAUGGGUGGUAAAUUCCAUCUAAAGCUAAAUAUUGGCGAGAGACCGAUAGCAAACAAGUACCGUGAGGGAAAGAUGAAAAGAACUUUGGAAAGAGAGUUAAACAGUACGUGAAAUUGUUGAAAGGGAAACGCUUAAAGUCCAGUCACGUCGGUUAGGAAUCAACCUUGGUUGUUAAUUUUCCUUGGUGCACUUCCUAGUCGAUGGGUCAACAUGAGUUUUGACCAUUGGAUAAAAGCCUUAGGAAUGUGGCACUGUUUCGUGCGUUAUAGCCUUUGGUUGUAUACAGUGGUUGGGACUGAGGAACUCAGCACGCCUUUUGGCCGGGUACUCGUACCACGUUCGUGCUUAGGAUGUUGGCAUAAUGGCUUUAAUCGACCCGUCUUGAAACACGGACCAAGGAGUCUAACAUGCCUGCAAGUGUUUGGGUGUUGAAACCCUUGCGCGUAAUGAAAGUGAAAGUUGAGAACUCAUUAGAGUGCAUCGACGCCCGGAGCUGAUCUUUUGUGAAGCAUCCGCGGUAGAGCAUGUAUGUUGGGACCCGAAAGAUGGUGAACUAUGCCUGAAUAGGGUGAAGCCAGAGGAAACUCUGGUGGAGGCUCGUAGCGAUUCU